CAGUUUUGUCCCUUCUUUCUCCCAACCCCAACUGAUCUCCAUAACAUACAAGCUCUGCCCACAGAUUGCAAAUUCCAUAAAUAACAUCAGGUAUGCAAGCAAGGAUUUUCUUUUCCCAUGUUUACUAAGUUAGCAGAGAUUGUAUUACUAAUUAUCUUUUCACCUUUUUUCCCAGUGUAAGAUCUUUGAAGCUGAGGAUGAAGCAUAGCAAGCAACGGUCAGAAAUCUGCACAAAAAUUUUCUGCAGUUAGAAAUUUGUUGCAUCUAAAGGUACUUAAAUUUACUGCUUUAAGCUGCCAAGUAGCUACUGCUGUGUGAUGUAGUUGGUGCCAUGAACCCUAGACAACAUGCCCUAUUUAGUUUGAUUUAACAAGACACAGUUUAGUUAUAUGGUUAGCGGAGGAUUGAUGUCUGAAAUUACUAUGGAGUUGUACUUUUCAUUUGUUGUCUGGGUGUGCUUGGAAGUGACUCCUCAACUUGACACUAAUUUGAACUGUCAACUGUGUUUGGAUAGAUAGACAGUACUGUACCUGAAGAUGGUGAUGGCAUCAAAACCCCACUUUGGAUUGCUUGAUUGUCGUAGGAAUAAUUUCCUGAAUCUAGUCGAAAAUAUCAAACUACAUAUAUCAAGUCCAUAACCAAUUGAAAUCUACAAGCUCACUGCACAUAUGGCCUGAAAUCAAGUCUCUCUCUCUCUCUCCACCUCUCUUAAAUUCAGAAUUUUUUAAAGAAAAAUAUGACCUUUUCAGACCAACCAAACAACAAGGUUUUCUUCAUGUCAGAGCAUUGUCUCAGGCUGAAAUGAACCGUGACAGGAAACAUGAGACUUAUAAUUGAUGUCCUAUAUUAAUUUCUACAUACAAUAAUACUACCAGUGCAAAACAUCAAAUUGCAUUCUAGCCAUCUGAUCAAUGCAAAACUAAGAGAAGGAAUUAAUUAUUUCUUUUAUUUCAGAGAAAAUUAGAAGAGCACAGUUCAUAUUACUACCACGAAGAUGUUCCUAGUCUAAAUUGCUCAAUUAAGCUGGCUAAGGUAAAUACGAUUAUUCAAGUGGUAAUUUUUUGUGUUUGCCUAAUCAAAACCCUUAGGCAUUCCUAAAACAUGGCUGCUAAGGAUAUGAUUUGUUAAACAUAAACAAGCAAUUUAUUGAAAUAUAUUAUUGUGAAUCUAAAAAUCUCAUUAAUGACCGCCGGACUUCCUCUAUCUAGGGCGAGGCCGGGUCCAAGAGAAGGAUGCUAGCCCAAAGCCCAUCAAGCUUUCCUUAAGCAGACCGACCCAGUAUCUCAAGCCCUGAUCCGAACAUGCGGGGCAGGCUAAGCUCAUCAUAAACCCGGGACCAACGAGAAGUAAUCUAGCCCAAUGAUGUGACGUGAAGGAGAAUAGUUGGCCCAGUCACUUCGCAGCCUGUCCGCAUGCGUGCUGGAAAAAUUAAAUGCGGAGAAAUUAAAUGGCCGCCUAACGUAGAGAGGGGUCUGACACACCCGUACGUACGGACCUGAGUGACAGAGACAAGUGGCACUGUAGCAGAUAAACGGUUAGACGUCACUAGCUGACAAAAGGAAAAGGGGAAAAACGUCUUCCUCUUCAUCUAAGCUUACACAACCGGAAAAGGAAUAGGAAGAACGUCUUCCUCUCCAUCUAAGCUUACACAACCACUGUAAAUUCUAUUUUCUGGAUCUUAGAACAUCACCAUCACCCCAUAGACAGACCACCCCCAUAGACAGACAUCCCCCUCUCAUUUCAACUUUGGAUCCUUAACUCAACAUUCCUCAAUUGAUUCUACAAGUACCAAAUUCUACUAAUGUUGUCAUUCUCCUCCAAUCCUUUUUAUUACUCCUCCUCACAACUUGUGGUGCAUUGGAGUUUUGGUGCUAUUGGCGUCAAAAUCUGUGGAGAUUGCCAUCCUCCAAGUAAAUUUACAUAUUGUCCCUCAACUUAAGGCAUCGUAGCAACAUGAUUUUUGAACUUCAAUUUGUAAGAUAAUUUCUUUUUACAUAGUAAAUUGCUUGCCUAUAAUGGUUGAUUUACAGGUUACAAGCUGACAUGGCUUGUCCUCUCUCUCUUCAUCUUCAUCUUCCUCAAUUUCAAUAUUGUUUUCCUCAUCUUCCUCACAAACAACAAAAUAGCAAGCUUGAUUUAUCAAAGUAUAUACCCUAUUCCACCAGCUUCAAAAACUUGUCAUUGUUUCCCGACUUCUUAGCAACUAAAAUCUCAUUGAGGAGAGAGAAGAAAAAAGAAAAGGGACGGCAAGCACAAGAUAUAGAAGUUGAUCAAUUGAUUCUUAUGUUUAUCAAUGAGCAUUGCCUUAGGUAACUUGACCAUUAACCUACCAAAAACCAAAACAAAUGGAAAAAAAUCCAUAAUUCUAUUGGAAAAUCCUCAAAAUAUCAUAAAUAGGAUUCUCAAUCAAAAAGUGAACCAACAAUGCAAAACCACCAUUUGAAGAUAAAAUCCUUGAGAGCAUCAAUUCUCCUACGCAAUAUAUCAUUCAAAUGGGAUAUAUUCGAGGAUCUUGCAUAUUAGAUGUUUAAACCAAAUGAAUGCAUCAAUUCAUUUUGAUCUUUCUAGUUCAAUUUGAUUCUCAAUUUCUCAUACAAGCACCAUAUAAGUGUUCCAAAUUGUUGUAAUAUCAUUUGAAAAAUCCAUUUUAGAGGAAAAAUGCAAAUGAAUUGUUGUAGAAAUUGUAUAUUAGGUCAAUAAAUAUGUGCAAACAUAGUUGAGGAACUCGAUGAAAUUAUAAGGGCAGUACCAUAAGUUCCUACCGGAAUAGCCUCCCCCCCUCCAUCGAUGCGAGUUAGUUUCACAAUAUACAUUCUCUCUAUUAAUUUUAGAUUGGACUUCUCUAUUACAAAUUGUUCACUUUAAUUAGACAUGUCUAUAAAUUAAUCAAAUAUUUUGAAAUUCAAAACAAAAUUAUAUUUGGCUUGUAGAUCCACAUACCCAACAUGGAAAAUUGUUGACUUGAACAAAGGAUUUAUCAACAGGCUUGACAUGAACCAACUCAAUUAAAUCUUGCUUGCAAGAUGGGCUGAACUUGGGAUUUAUUUAGUAAUAAGGCUGGGUAUGGUGUGUUAUGGUUAUCAAUUAAUCAACUUUCAUGUACUUGAUAAUAGACUUAUACAUGGAUUUGUCAAGCCACCAGCUUGACUUAAAUUAUCAAGUUUUUGGAUUUCUUUUCCUCUCCUUAAGACUCAACUUGAUCCUAUUGUCUGAAGCUUGCUAAGCGUGGUGUUACAGAUUCACGUUUAAUUAAGGCUUUGACAAACCCAAUCCAGUUUGAUAGAAAGUCAUAUAUAACUUUUAUAAUUUAUGAUGACAAUGAUUUCCACCAUUAAAUUAGAGAUCAUCAAUUUAUCUAAUGAUAGUUAUUGAAUAUUUACCUAAAUGAACCUUAGAGUACUAGAAAUAAAAAAAUAACAAUGAAGUUUUUUAAAAAUUAAAAUAAAAUAAAAUAAAAUAAAACAAAACUACCAUGAUCCUUUCCUAUCUUCCCCUAGGGAAAUAGGAAUAAAGUACUAGUAGCAUGGCUUAUGCCCAUAGGAAUACUUUGGAACAUUAUUUGAACCACUUUUUUUGCAUAUAAUAUUGGUAAAUUUUCAAUACUUUGUCUAAUUCACAUAUCUACAGAAUAACUACGCCAUGCAAUGCAUCAAAUAAGCACAAAGGGAGAACGGAACAAAGAAAACAAUAUUCACAAUACUCGCAUC
This 3707-nucleotide long non-coding RNA is filed under the name Manihot esculenta (cassava). RNAcentral's name for it is "long non-coding RNA (MESC_LNC001375)". The record is from RNAcentral. Lineage: Eukaryota; Viridiplantae; Streptophyta; Magnoliopsida; Malpighiales; Euphorbiaceae.